Molecule: ribosomal RNA, 410 nt
Filed under: uncultured bacterium
Lineage: Bacteria
Description: bacterial SSU rRNA
Rfam family: Bacterial small subunit ribosomal RNA
Source: RNAcentral
GGGCCCGCACAAGCGGUGGAGUAUGUGGUUUAAUUCGAUGCAACGCGAAGAACCUUACCAGGGUUUGACAUCCUGCGAAUCUCUUGGAAACGAGAGGGUGCCUUCGGGAACGCAGUGACAGGUGCUGCAUGGCUGUCGUCAGCUCGUGUCGUGAGAUGUUCGGUUAAGUCCGGCAACGAGCGCAACCCACAUCCCUAGUUGCCAGCAGUUCGGCUGGGCACUCUAUGGAAACUGCCCGUGAUAAGCGGGAGGAAGGUGUGGAUGACGUCAAGUCCUCAUGGCCCUUACGGGUUGGGCUACACACGUGCUACAAUGGUAGUGACAAUGGGUUAAUCCCAAAAGCUAUCUCAGUUCGGAUUGUCGUCUGCAACUCGACGGCAUGAAGUCGGAAUCGCUAGUAAUCGCGUAAC